AUUGAACGCUGGCGGCAGGCCUAACACAUGCAAGUCGAACGAGUGGCGGACGGGUGAGUAAUGUCUGGGAAACUGCCUGAUGGCGGGGGAUAACUCCUGGAAACGGUAGCUAAUACCACAUACCAUCAGAUGUGCCCAGAUGGGAUUGGCGAGGUGGUGGGGUACCGGCUCACCAAGGCGACGACCCAUAGCUGGUAUGAGAGGACGACCAGGCACACGGGAAAUGAGUAACGGUCCAGACGCCUACGGGAGGCAGCAGUGGGGAAUAUUGAACGAUGGGCGCAAGCCUGAUGCAGCCAUCCCGCGUGUAGGAAGAAGGCCUGCGGGUUGUAAAGUACUUUCAGCGGGGAGGCGUUACCCGCAGAAGAAGCACCGGCUAACGCCGUGCCAGCAGCCGCGGUAAUUC
RNAcentral lists this ribosomal RNA (406 nucleotides) under uncultured bacterium. RNAcentral's name for it is "partial 16S ribosomal RNA". It matches the Rfam family "Bacterial small subunit ribosomal RNA", at positions 29 to 526 of the family's 1533-position model. The record is from RNAcentral.